This 330-nucleotide long non-coding RNA is filed under the name Androctonus crassicauda. The record is from RNAcentral. Lineage: Eukaryota; Metazoa; Arthropoda; Arachnida; Scorpiones; Buthidae.
AGUUGCUGCACCGGAAUUCCCAUUACUUAACAUUCUGCCCCGAAGCAUUAAACGGAUAGAUAAGUUUGUUUUAAAGAUAUUGUAGCUUGAAGCGUAAUGCCAGAUUCUGUGUUUUGCCAGAUUUUCAUCUGCUUGACCGAUUCAGCUAAAGAUUGGUUUCACAUCGAAACUUGUAAGAAUUUCUGGCGGAAUGCUAUUCGAGUAUUACGACAUAAUGACAUCCAACUAGUGAAUAUACGACACUUUUGUUCUUCUAGGAAAACAGAAAUAUUUUCUUUUUCAUUCCUGUUGAUUUUAAUCGUAAUGAUGAAAUCUGAUUUUACUCUUACC